RNAcentral lists this ribosomal RNA (1419 nucleotides) under Triticum aestivum (bread wheat). Its description in RNAcentral is "partial small subunit ribosomal RNA". Lineage: Eukaryota; Viridiplantae; Streptophyta; Magnoliopsida; Poales; Poaceae. The record is from RNAcentral.
AUGGAGACACCGGCGGGAGGUUCCGCCGAUCGCCGGGUAACCGGGUCUGGCGCCUCCGCCGGUGCUGCGGCUUCUGGCCUCAGCCGCUACGGUCUCAAUUUCUCCGCCUCCAGCCUUCUCCAGGCUCUGCUCGCCGCGCUCCUCGAGUACUCAGGCGUUGUCCCCUCCGGGCCCGUCCCGCAGACGGUGCAGCAGGCGGUACCCUCCUCUUCAUCGUCGUCUGAGGCUGACGGGCUACUUUCUGCCGCCGCUGCUGGGGAUGGAGAGGUCUCGAUUCGGAUCCAGGGUGGCCCCGGCGACCCUGACACGGCGAGCGCGACGGCUACAGGUGCCUCGCCGCAGGACUCGAUUGAGGUGGCCGCCUCCUCCAACUUUGACCCGGCCUCCGUGGCGGGAAGGGGAAGCGGUGCUGAUGCGGAGGCAAGCGGCGGUGGCAGUGGCGGUGCUACGGGGAAUGGGGCUGGGGACCGCCCAUAUCAGCGUUACGACGUGCACCACGUUGCUCGGUGGAUCGAGCAGAUACUACCAUUCUCGCUGCUGUUGCUCGUCGUCUUCAUUCGGCAGCAUCUCCAAGGAAACCAAAGUGGAGGAGGAGGCGCGGGGAGAAAAAAAACCAGGGGAGGAGGUGGAGGUUUCUUUGUCACAAUUUGGAUUGCUGCUGUAAUGUUCAAGUCAAAUGAUAUAUUGAAGAAGCAAACUGCUUUGAAGGGCGAGAGAAAAGUUGCUAUGCUUGUUGGAAUCACCAUAAUCUUCAUGGUCCAUGUGUUUGGCGUCUAUUGGUGGUACAGGAACGAUUAUCUUCUUAGACCUCUGUUCAUGGUUCCUCCAAAAGAUAUACCACCAUUCUGGCAUGCAAUUUUUAUCAUCAUGGUCAACGAUACAAUGGUACGCCAGGCAGCGAUGACCGUCAAGUGCAUGCUACUUAUGUACUACAAGAACAGCAGAGGCCGUAACUACCGUAGGCAGGGACAAAUGCUAACACUUGUGGAGUACCUUCUGCUUCUAUAUCGUGCUUUAUUGCCGACUCCUGUUUGGUACCGUUUCUUUCUGAACAAGGAAUAUGGGAGUCUGUUCUCAUCUUUAACUACUGGGCUAUACCUGACUUUCAAGUUGACUUCGGUAGUUGAGAAGGUUCAAUCAUUCUUAUCUGCAGUGAAAGCAUUGUCACGUAAAGAUGUGCACUAUGGGUCUUAUGCGACAGCAGAACAGGCAAUUGCUGCCGGUGAUAUGUGUGCCAUCUGCCAGGAAAAGAUGCACGUUCCUGUUCUCCUUCGCUGUAAACAUAUUUUCUGCGAGGACUGUGUCUCUGAAUGGUUUGAGCGAGAACGAACUUGCCCUUUGUGUAGAGCAUUGGUAAAGCCUGCUGACAUUCGGUCAUUUGGUGAUGGUUCUACAAGUCUCUUCUUCCAGUUGUUUUAG